This 253-nucleotide ribosomal RNA is filed under the name uncultured bacterium. Its description in RNAcentral is "partial 16S ribosomal RNA". It matches the Rfam family "Bacterial small subunit ribosomal RNA", at positions 524 to 776 of the family's 1533-position model. The record is from RNAcentral.
UACGUAGGGUGCGAGCGUUAAUCAGAAUUACUGGGCGUAAAGCGUGCGCAGGCGGUUUUGUAAGACCGAUGUGAAAUCCCCGGGCUCAACCUGGGAACUGCAUUGUUGACUGCAAGGCUAGAGUGUGUCAGAGGGAGGUGGAAUUCCACGUGUAGCAGUGAAAUGCGUAUAGAUGUGGAGGAACACCGAUGGCGAAGGCAGCCUCCUGGGAUAACACUGACGCUCAUGCACGAAAGCGUGGGGAGCAAACAGG